RNAcentral lists this ribosomal RNA (385 nucleotides) under uncultured bacterium. RNAcentral describes it as "bacterial SSU rRNA". It matches the Rfam family "Bacterial small subunit ribosomal RNA", at positions 29 to 417 of the family's 1533-position model. The record is from RNAcentral.
AUUGAACGCUGGCGGCAUGCCUUACACAUGCAAGUCGAACGGUAACGCGGGGCAACCUGGCGACGAGUGGCGAACGGGUGAGUAAUGCAUCGGAACGUGCCCAAUAGUGGGGGAUAGCCCGGCGAAAGCCGGAUUAAUACCGCAUACGACCUACGGGUGAAAGGGGGGGAUCGCAAGACCUCUCGCUAUUGGAGCGGCCGAUGUCAGAUUAGCUAGUUGGUGGGGUAAAAGCCUACCAAGGCGACGAUCUGUAGCUGGUCUGAGAGGACGACCAGCCACACUGGGACUGAGACACGGCCCAGACUCCUACGGGAGGCAGCAGUGGGGAAUUUUGGACAAUGGACGAAAGUCUGAUCCAGCCAUGCCGCGUGCGGGAAGAAGGCCU